This 687-nucleotide ribosomal RNA is filed under the name Stenotrophomonas sp. RNAcentral describes it as "bacterial SSU rRNA". It matches the Rfam family "Bacterial small subunit ribosomal RNA", at positions 255 to 931 of the family's 1533-position model. The record is from RNAcentral. Lineage: Bacteria; Pseudomonadati; Pseudomonadota; Gammaproteobacteria; Lysobacterales; Lysobacteraceae.
GGGUAAAGGCCCACCAAGGCGACUAUCCGUAUCUGGUCUGUAAGGAUGAUCAGCCACACUGGAACUGAGACACGGUCCAGACUCCUACGGGAGGCAGCAGUGGGGAAUAUUGGACAAUGGGCGCAAGCCUGAUCCAGCCAUACCGCGUGGGUGAAGAAGGCCUUCGGGUUGUAAAGCCCUUUUGUUGGGAAAGAAAUCCAGCCGGCUAAUACCUGGUUGGGAUGACGGUACCCAAAGAAUAAGCACCGGCUAACUUCGUGCCAGCAGCCGCGGUAAUACGAAGGGUGCAAGCGUUACUCGGAAUUACUGGGCGUAAAGCGUGCGUAGGUGGUUGUUUAAGUCUGUUGUGAAAGCCCUGGGCUCAACCUGGGAACUGCAGUGGAAACUGGACAACUAGAGUGUGGUAGAGGGUAGCGGAAUUCCCGGUGUAGCAGUGAAAUGCGUAGAGAUCGGGAGGAACAUCCAUGGCGAAGGCAGCUACCUGGACCAACACUGACACUGAGGCACGAAAGCGUGGGGAGCAAACAGGAUUAGAUACCCUGGUAGUCCACGCCCUAAACGAUGCGAACUGGAUGUUGGGUGCAAUUUGGCACGCAGUAUCGAAGCUAACGCGUUAAGUUCGCCGCCUGGGGGAGUACGGUCGCAAGACUGAAACUCAAGGGAAUUGGACGGGGGCCCGCACAAAGC